UGGCGGCGUGCCAAUACAUGCAAGUCGAACGAACUCUGGUAUUGAUUGGUGCUUGCAUCAUGAUUUACAUUUGAGUGAGUGGCGAACUGGUGAGUAACACGUGGGAAACCUGCCCAGAAGCGGGGGAUAACACCUGGAAACAGAUGCUAAUACCGCAUAACAACUUGGACCGCAUGGUCCGAGCUUGAAAGAUGGCUUCGGCUAUCACUUUUGGAUGGUCCCGCGGCGUAUUAGCUAGAUGGUGGGGUAACGGCUCACCAUGGCAAUGAUACGUAGCCGACCUGAGAGGGUAAUCGGCCACAUUGGGACUGAGACACGGCCCAAACUCCUACGGGAGGCAGCAGUAGGGAAUCUUCCACAAUGGACGAAAGUCUGAUGGAGCAACGCCGCGUGAGUGAAGAAGGGUUUCGGCUCGUAAAACUCUGUUGUUAAAGAAGAACAUAUCUGAGAGUAACUGUUCAGGUAUUGACGGUAUUUAACCAGAAAGCCACGGCUAACUACGUGCCAGCAGCCGCGGUAAUACGUAGGUGGCAAGCGUUGUCCGGAUUUAUUGGGCGUAAAGCGAGCGCAGGCGGUUUUUUAAGUCUGAUGUGAAAGCCUUCGGCUCAACCGAAGAAGUGCAUCGGAAACUGGGAAACUUGAGUGCAGAAGAGGACAGUGGAACUCCAUGUGUAGCGGUGAAAUGCGUAGAUAUAUGGAAGAACACCAGUGGCGAAGGCGGCUGUCUGGUCUGUAACUGACGCUGAGGCUCGAAAGUAUGGGUAGCAAACAGGAUUAGAUACCCUGGUAGUCCAUACCGUAAACGAUGAAUGCUAAGUGUUGGAGGGUUUCCGCCCUUCAGUGCUGCAGCUAACGCAUUAAGCAUUCCGCCUGGGGAGUACGGCCGCAAGGCUGAAACUCAAAGGAAUUGACGGGGGCCCGCACAAGCGGUGGAGCAUGUGGUUUAAUUCGAAGCUACGCGAAGAACCUUACCAGGUCUUGACAUACUAUGCAAAUCUAAGAGAUUAGACGUUCCCUUCGGGGACAUGGAUACAGGUGGUGCAUGGUUGUCGUCAGCUCGUGUCGUGAGAUGUUGGGUUAAGUCCCGCAACGAGCGCAACCCUUAUUAUCAGUUGCCAGCAUUAAGUUGGGCACUCUGGUGAGACUGCCGGUGACAAACCGGAGGAAGGUGGGGAUGACGUCAAAUCAUCAUGCCCCUUAUGACCUGGGCUACACACGUGCUACAAUGGAUGGUACAACGAGUUGCGAACUCGCGAGAGUAAGCUAAUCUCUUAAAGCCAUUCUCAGUUCGGAUUGUAGGCUGCAACUCGCCUACAUGAAGUCGGAAUCGCUAGUAAUCGCGGAUCAGCAUGCCGCGGUGAAUACGUUCCCGGGCCUUGUACACACCGCCCGUCACACCAUGAGAGUUUGUAACACCCAAAGUCGGUGGGGUAACCUUUUAGGAACCAGCCGCCUAAGGUGGGACAGAUGAUUAGGGUGAAGUCGUAACAAGGUAGCCGUAGGAGAACCUGCGGCUGGAUCACCUCCUUU
RNAcentral lists this ribosomal RNA (1530 nucleotides) under Lactiplantibacillus plantarum. Its description in RNAcentral is "Lactobacillus plantarum 16S ribosomal RNA". It matches the Rfam family "Bacterial small subunit ribosomal RNA". Lineage: Bacteria; Bacillati; Bacillota; Bacilli; Lactobacillales; Lactobacillaceae. The record is from RNAcentral.